UACGGAGGAUCCGAGCGUUAUCCGGAUUUAUUGGGUUUAAAGGGAGCGUAGGCGGGUUGUUAAGUCAGUUGUGAAAGUUUGCGGCUCAACCGUAAAAUUGCAGUUGAUACUGGCAUCCUUGAGUACAGUAGAGGUAGGCGGAAUUCGUGGUGUAGCGGUGAAAUGCAUAGAUAUCACGCAGAACCCCGAUUGCGAAGGCAGCAUGCCGGCUUCCUACUGACGCUGAAGCACGAAAGCGUGGGGAUCGAACAGG
This 253-nucleotide ribosomal RNA is filed under the name uncultured bacterium. RNAcentral's name for it is "partial 16S ribosomal RNA". It matches the Rfam family "Bacterial small subunit ribosomal RNA", at positions 524 to 776 of the family's 1533-position model. The record is from RNAcentral.